ACGAUCAGUAGCCGACCUGAGAGGGUGAUCGGCCACAUUGGAACUGAGACACGGUCCAAACUCCUACGGGAGGCAGCAGUGGGGAAUAUUGCACAAUGGGCGAAAGCCUGAUGCAGCAACGCCGCGGGAGUGAUGAAGGCCUUCGGGUCGUAAAACUCUGUCCUCAAGGAAGAUAAUGACGGUACUUGAGGAGGAAGCCCCGGCUAACUACGUGCCAGCAGCCGCGGUAAUACGUAGGGGGCUAGCGUUAUCCG
Molecule: ribosomal RNA, 254 nt
Filed under: Clostridioides difficile
Lineage: Bacteria; Bacillati; Bacillota; Clostridia; Peptostreptococcales; Peptostreptococcaceae
Description: partial 16S ribosomal RNA
Rfam family: Bacterial small subunit ribosomal RNA
Source: RNAcentral